Molecule: long non-coding RNA, 248 nt
Organism: Hemiscyllium ocellatum (epaulette shark)
Lineage: Eukaryota; Metazoa; Chordata; Chondrichthyes; Orectolobiformes; Hemiscylliidae
Exons: 3
Source: RefSeq, a predicted model, not a curated record
UGAUGCUGGCAACUAUACUUGUGUCUUUGAUACAAACCCAAAAUCGGAAGGCAGGUUUGAAGUACAAAUUCCUCCGAUUUGGACCAAAAAUAUAAAUGAAAUACGUUCUGAUGGUGAUCAUAUUAACUUAACCUGCAAAAGUGACCGAUAUACCCCUCUUUACUGGAUUUGGUCAAAGGAAGUCAAAGGCAGAAAGGUGACCCUGAAUAAUGAAACAGGAGACCAAUAUUACAUCCAUAGCCUUGGCA